GACGAACGCUGGCGGCGUGCUUAACACAUGCAAGUCGAACGGAAAGGCCCUGCUUUUGUGGGGUGCUCGAGUGGCGAACGGGUGAGUAACACGUGAGUAACCUGCCCUUGACUUUGGGAUAACUUCAGGAAACUGGGGCUAAUACCGGAUAGGAGCUCCUGCUGCAUGGUGGGGGUUGGAAAGUUUCGGCGGUUGGGGAUGGACUCGCGGCUUAUCAGCUUGUUGGUGGGGUACUGGCUUACCAAGGCUUUGACGGGUAGCCGGCCUGAGAGGGUGAACGGCCACAUUGGGACUGAGAUACGGCCCAGACUCCUACGGGAGGCAGCAGUGGGGAAUAUUGCACAAUGGGCGGAAGUCUGAUGCAGCAACGCCGCGUGCGGGAUGACGGCCUUCGGGUUGUAAACCGCUUUCGCCUGUGACGAAGCGUGAGUGACGGUAAUGGGUAAAGAAGCACCGGCUAACUACGUG
Molecule: ribosomal RNA, 468 nt
Filed under: uncultured bacterium
Lineage: Bacteria
Description: partial 16S ribosomal RNA
Rfam family: Bacterial small subunit ribosomal RNA
Source: RNAcentral